CAAAUUCGCAUCUAGGGGAAU
Molecule: microRNA, 21 nt
Filed under: Python bivittatus (Burmese python)
Lineage: Eukaryota; Metazoa; Chordata; Lepidosauria; Squamata; Pythonidae
Description: pbv-miR-10a-3p
Gene: pbv-miR-10a-3p
Source: miRBase by way of RNAcentral